This 468-nucleotide ribosomal RNA is filed under the name uncultured bacterium. RNAcentral describes it as "partial 16S ribosomal RNA". It matches the Rfam family "Bacterial small subunit ribosomal RNA", at positions 28 to 507 of the family's 1533-position model. The record is from RNAcentral.
GACGAACGCUGGCGGCGCGCUUAACACAUGCAAGUCGAACGGAAAGGCCCUGCUUUUGUGGUGUGCACGAGUGGCGACCGGGUGAGUAACCCGUGAGUAACCUGCCCCUGACUUUGGGAUAACUUCAGGAACCUGGGGCUAAUACCGGAUCGGAGCUCCUGCUGCAUGGUGGGGGUUGGAAAGCUUCGGCGGAUGGGGAUGGACUCGCGGCUUAUCAGCUUGUUGGUGGGGUAGUGGCUUACCAAGGCUUUGACGGGUAGCUGGCCUGAGAGGGGGACCGGCCACAUUGGGACUGGGAUACGGCCCAGACUCCAACGGGGGGCAGCGGUGGGAAAUAUGGCACAAGGGGCGGAAGCCUGAGGCAGCAACGCCGCUGGCGGGAGAACGGCCUUCGGGUUGUAAACCGCUUUCGCCUGUGACGAAGCGUGAGUGACGGUAAUGGGUAAAGAAGCACCGGCUAACUACGUG